RNAcentral lists this ribosomal RNA (611 nucleotides) under Salmonella enterica subsp. enterica serovar Enteritidis. Its description in RNAcentral is "partial 23S ribosomal RNA". It matches the Rfam family "Bacterial large subunit ribosomal RNA", at positions 1 to 589 of the family's 2925-position model. Lineage: Bacteria; Pseudomonadati; Pseudomonadota; Gammaproteobacteria; Enterobacterales; Enterobacteriaceae. The record is from RNAcentral.
GGGUUGUGAGGUUAAGCGACUAAGCGUACACGGUGGAUGCCCUGGCAGUCAGAGGCGAUGAAGGGCGUGCUAAUCUGCGAUAAGCGCCGGUAAGGUGAUAUGAACCGUUAUAACCGGCGAUACCCGAAUGGGGAAACCCAGUGUGAUUCGUCACACUAUCAUUAACUGAAUCCAUAGGUUAAUGAGGCGAACCGGGGGAACUGAAACAUCUAAGUACCCCGAGGAAAAGAAAUCAACCGAGAUUCCCCCAGUAGCGGCGAGCGAACGGGGAGGAGCCCAGAGCCUGAAUCAGCAUGUGUGUUAGUGGAAGCGUCUGGAAAGGCGCGCGAUACAGGGUGACAGCCCCGUACACAAAAGCGCAUGUGCUGUGAGCUCGAUGAGUAGGGCGGGACACGUGGUAUCCUGUCUGAAUAUGGGGGGACCAUCCUCCAAGGCUAAAUACUCCUGACUGACCGAUAGUGAACCAGUACCGUGAGGGAAAGGCGAAAAGAACCCCGGCGAGGGGAGUGAAAAAGAACCUGAAACCGUGUACGUACAAGCAGUGGGAGCCCCACCACCAAAGCAUUUGCUGUACCGCGUUGACGGAGCGAAGCGACGUCAAACCGAUAAAA